UCCUCUGUCUGUGGGAUUCUCCAGGCAAGAAUAUUGAAUUGAGUAGCCAUUCGCUCCUCCAGGGGAUCUUCCUGACCCAGGGAUCAAAACUGCAUCUCAUAUCUCCUGCAUUGGCAGGCGGGUUCUUUACCACUAGCACCAACUGGGAAGACCCACGUGGCAUCUAAAAUACAGAUUCCCAGGCUGGGCCCAGGCAAGGCUAUCGGUCAUCAGGUUUGGAAACCACAAGAGAAGCGAAGAGGGUAUUUGAUUCGGGCCCAUGAGGCCAAGAUGAUUCCCGGUUCAGCCUGCUUUAGCCUUGACCUGCCAUGUGAACUUGGGCGAUUCCAAUCGCCAGCUCCAUCUCAGGUUUUCUCCUCCACACAGUGGGAAUCAGCUUUGGCUCUGCCAGCCCAUCAGGUGAGAAAAUGAGAUGUAAACUUUUAUAAGCCAUCCAGCACUGAACAAAUACAAGCUGCUGUUAUUAUGAUGUCAUUUCCCACAUGCUGUGCUGAGCACGGAGUCACUCCCACGCCAGCCUUGGGCCAGCCCUGCCCCUCUGCCGGCCCUGGAUUCCCAGCCUCCUCUGCAGCUGGAGUCCUCCCAGCUUCUCUUGCAUUUAUCCCAGCCCUGGGGCCCUCCCUGAGCAAUCAGUGGACUGGUAACCGCAGUCGCUGACUUACAUGUAUAUAUCAGCGUGUCUCAUUCUCCCAGCAGCCCUAUUUUUCAGACGAGGAAACUGAGGCUUAGAGAAGAUAAGAAAUUGUCCAAAGUCAGUGCGAACAAGUGGUGAGGGGGGACCUCAGCCUCGGGUCUGUCUGGGGGCUUCUGUGCCAAGUUCCAUGAGCAUUUACCCUCCACCUUCAGGAAUUUUGCCAGAUCUACUCCCUAUCCAGUCUGUUAUCCACAGCAGUGCAUCUAGCAGUGUGGAUGGCUGCAGACAUGGCUGGGGUCCCAGGAACCGUCAAAGUCAUCCAUUCACACGGGGACUUGUUUCCACAAUCAGGUCCCUCUCCCUUAUAAAUUCUUCUCUGUCCAACAACCAGGCAGAACUUCAUGGCGGACCUGAUCUACCAUCUGGGUGGUAAGUGUGUGAUUAGCUAAUGAAAUCUAAUGAAUUAUGUGUCCACAAACGUGGUGGAAAAAAUCCGAUGCCUAAGAUGCAUGCCCUGAGCCCAGCGUUUGUACCAGGAGAGAUUGAUGGUUACAGCGAGCGCUCGGAAUUCAGAGCUGAGUCUUUGUUUAAUAUGCAUCUUUCUUCUCCAGGCAUCAAAGAGAUUAAUUUGUUAGAGUAAACAGACUUCAAAACAGGAUUUGGUCUCUGAGAAUCUGUACCUGAUUUGGCGUUCCUGGCUCAGACUGCCCCAAGCCUUCAUCAUUUUG
Molecule: long non-coding RNA, 1362 nt
Filed under: Bos indicus x Bos taurus (hybrid cattle)
Lineage: Eukaryota; Metazoa; Chordata; Mammalia; Artiodactyla; Bovidae
Description: lncRNA (ENSBIXG00005008166.1)
Source: RNAcentral